UUGAUCCUGGCUCAGAUUGAACGCUAGCGGCAUGCCUAACACAUGCAAGUCGAACGAGAUCUUCGGAUCUAGUGGCGGACGGGUGAGUAAUGCGUGGGAAUCUGCCUAGUAGUGGGGAAUAACCUGGGGAAACUCAGGCUAAUACCGCAUACGCCCUACGGGGGAAAGCGGGGUUCGCCUCGUGCUAUUAGAUGAGCCCACGUCCGAUUAGCUUGUUGGUGAGGUAACGGCUCACCAAGGCGACGAUCGGUAGCUGGUCUGAGAGGAUGAUCAGCCACACUGGGACUGAGACACGGCCCAGACUCCUACGGGAGGCAGCAGUGGGGAAUAUUGGACAAUGGGCGAAAGCCUGAUCCAGCAAUGCCGCGUGUGUGAAGAAGGCCUGCGGGUUGUAAAGCACUUUCAGUGGGGAGGAAACACAACGGGUUAAUACCCCGUUGGAUUGACGUUACCCACAGAAGAAGCACCGGCUAACUCCGUGCCAGCAGCCGCGGUAAGACGGAGGGUGCAAGCGUUAAUCGGAAUUACUGGGCGUAAAGCGCACGUAGGCGGCUGAGUAAGUCGGAUGUGAAAGCCCCGGGCUUAACCUGGGAAUUGCAUUCGAUACUGCUCGGCUAGAGUUUGGUAGAGGGAAGCGGAAUUUCCGGUGUAGCGGUGAAAUGCGUAGAUAUCGGAAGGAACACCAGUGGCGAAGGCGGCUUCCUGGACCAAAACUGACGCUGAGGUGCGAAAGCGUGGGUAGCAAACAGGAUUAGAUACCCUGGUAGUCCACGCCCUAAACGAUGAGAACUAGACGUUGGGGGUAUUUAGACCCUUUGUGUCGCAGCAAACGCGUUAAGUUCUCCGCCUGGGGAGUACGGCCGCAAGGUUGAAACUCAAAGUAAUUGACGGGGGCCUGCACAAGCGGUGGAGCAUGUGGUUUAAUUCGAUGCAACGCGAAGAACCUUACCUGGCCUUGACAUCCUCGGAACCCUGCAGAGAUGCGGGGGUGCCUUCGGGAACCGAGUUGACGGUGCUGCAUGGGUGUCGUCAGCUCGUGUCGUGA
RNAcentral lists this ribosomal RNA (1045 nucleotides) under uncultured organism. Its description in RNAcentral is "bacterial SSU rRNA". It matches the Rfam family "Bacterial small subunit ribosomal RNA", at positions 13 to 1070 of the family's 1533-position model. The record is from RNAcentral.